This 315-nucleotide unclassified non-coding RNA is filed under the name uncultured fungus. RNAcentral describes it as "sequence contains ITS2". The stretch from base 1 to 52 matches the Rfam family "5.8S ribosomal RNA", at positions 103 to 154 of the family's 154-position model. Lineage: Eukaryota; Fungi. The record is from RNAcentral.
AACGCAUAUUGCACCCUUUGGUCUUCCGAAGGGUAUGCCUGUUUGAGUGUCAUUAACAUAUCAACACAUUCAAAUUGAAUUUGUGAUUGGAAAGAAUGAAGGCGUGCUGGCAACCACAUGUGGUUGAUCAGCUCCUUUUAAAUGCAUUAGCAGGACCUUUCAGGACUGGCUCCAGUUUGAUAAGCUUCAAUGUUAUCUAUGCUGUUGCUAGUAAUGACUCAGUCUAGCUUCUAAUGGUCUCCUUUGGGACUGCCUGAAACGGCACCAAUUUUUGACAUUGACCUCAAAUCAGGUAGGACUACCCGCUGAACUUAA